Molecule: ribosomal RNA, 468 nt
Filed under: uncultured bacterium
Lineage: Bacteria
Description: partial 16S ribosomal RNA
Rfam family: Bacterial small subunit ribosomal RNA
Source: RNAcentral
GACGAACGCUGGCGGCGUGCUUAACACAUGCAAGUCGAACGGAAAGGCCCUGCUUUUGUGGGGUGCUCGAGUGGCGAACGGGUGAGUAACACGUGAGUAACCUGCCCUUGACUUUGGGAUAACUUCAGGAAACUGGGGCUAAUACCGGAUAGGAGCUCUUGCUGCAUGGUGGGGGUUGGAAAGUUUCGGCGGUUGGGGAUGGACGCGCGGCUUAUCAGCUUGUUGGUGGGGUAGUGGCUUACCAAGGCUUUGACGGGUAGCCGGCCUGAGAGGUUGACCGGCCACAUUGGGACUGAGAUACGGCCCAGACUCCUACGGGAGGCAGCAGUGGGGAAUAUUGCGCAAUGGGCGGAAGCCUGAUGCAGCAAUGCCGCGUGCGGGAUGACGGCCUUCGGGUUGUAAACCGCUUUCGCCUGUGACGAAGCGUGAGUGGCGGUAAUGGGUAAAGAAGCACCGGCUAACUACGUG